RNAcentral lists this ribosomal RNA (439 nucleotides) under uncultured bacterium. RNAcentral describes it as "bacterial SSU rRNA". It matches the Rfam family "Bacterial small subunit ribosomal RNA", at positions 959 to 1397 of the family's 1533-position model. The record is from RNAcentral.
ACGCGCGGAACCUUACCAGGUCUUGACAUCCUCUGACAACUCUGGAGACAGAGCGUUCCCCUUCGGGGGACAGAGUGACAGGUGGUGCAUGGUUGUCGUCAGCUCGUGUCGUGAGAUGUUGGGUUAAGUCCCGCAACGAGCGCAACCCUUGUCCUUAGUUGCCAGCAUUUAGUUGGGCACUCUAAGGAGACUGCCGGUGACAAACCGGAGGAAGGUGGGGAUGACGUCAAAUCAUCAUGCCCCUUAUGACCUGGGCUACACACGUGCUACAAUGGAUAGAACAAAGGGCAGCGAAGCCGCGAGGUCAAGCAAAUCCCAUAAAUCUAUUCUCAGUUCGGAUUGUAGGCUGCAACUCGCCUACAUGAAGCCGGAAUCGCUAGUAAUCGCGGAUCAGCAUGCCGCGGUGAAUACGUUCCCGGGCCUUGCACUCACCGCCCGU